RNAcentral lists this ribosomal RNA (423 nucleotides) under uncultured bacterium. RNAcentral describes it as "bacterial SSU rRNA". It matches the Rfam family "Bacterial small subunit ribosomal RNA", at positions 202 to 622 of the family's 1533-position model. The record is from RNAcentral.
AAGACCUCGCGCUUUUGGAGCGGCCGAUGUCUGAUUAGCUAGUUGGUAGGGUAAUGGCCUACCAAAGCUUCGAUCAGUAGCUGGUCUGAGAGGACGACCAGCCACACUGGGACUGAGACACGGCCCAGACUCCUACGGGAGGCAGCAGUGGGGAAUUUUGGACAAUGGGCGCAAGCCUGAUCCAGCCAUGCCGCGUGAGUGAAGAAGGCCUUCGGGUUGUAAAGCUCUUUCAGCCGGGAAGAAAAGGCUACGACGAAUAAUCGUAGCUCAUGACGGUACCGGAAGAAGAAGCACCGGCUAACUACGUGCCAGCAGCCGCGGUAAUACGUAGGGUGCGAGCGUUAAUCGGAAUUACUGGGCGUAAAGGGUGCGCAGGCGGUUUUGUAAGUCAGAUGUGAAAUCCCCGGGCUUAACCUGGGAACU